CAUGCAAGUUGAGCGCUUGAGGGGGGCAACCCCCAAGAGAGCAGCGAACGGGUGAGUAACGCGUGGGUGAUCUUCCUUCGAGUGGGGAACAACAUCGGGAAACUGGUGCUAAUUCCGCAUAAUAUCCUCGGGCCACGAGCUCGGGGAUCAAAGCCGGGGACCGCAAGGCCUGGCGCUUGAAGAUGAGCCCGCGUCCGAUUAGCUAGUUGGCGGGGUAAUGGCCCACCAAGGCUCCGAUCGGUAGCCGGCCUGAGAGGGCGGACGGCCACACUGGAACUGAGACACGGUCCAGACUCCUACGGGAGGCAGCAGUGGGGAAUUUUUCGCAAUGGGCGCAAGCCUGACGAAGCAACGCCGCGUGGAGGAUGAAGGUCUUCGGAUUGUAAACUCCUGUCGACCGGGACGAAUGCACUCGACCUAAUACGUCGGAAUGUUGACGGUACCGGUGGAGGAAGCCACGGCUAACUCUGUGCCAGCAGCCGCGGUAAUACAGAGGUGGCAAGCGUUGUUCGGAAUUACUGGGCGUAAAGGGCGCGUAGGCGGCCUUAUAAGUCUCGUGUGAAAGCCCUCGGCUUAACUGAGGAUCUGCACGGGAUACUGUAAGGCUCGAGUUCGGGAGAGGAAAGCGGAAUUCCGGGUGUAGCGGUGAAAUGCGUAGAUAUCCGGAGGAACACCAGUGGCGAAGGCGGCUUUCUGGACGACACUGACGCUG
This 712-nucleotide ribosomal RNA is filed under the name uncultured bacterium. RNAcentral describes it as "bacterial SSU rRNA". It matches the Rfam family "Bacterial small subunit ribosomal RNA", at positions 54 to 748 of the family's 1533-position model. The record is from RNAcentral.